Molecule: long non-coding RNA, 1503 nt
Filed under: Felis catus (domestic cat)
Lineage: Eukaryota; Metazoa; Chordata; Mammalia; Carnivora; Felidae
Description: lncRNA (ENSFCAG00000047222.1)
Rfam family: mir-130 microRNA precursor family (bases 105-207)
Source: RNAcentral
AUGCUAAACUUCAAUUUCCUCAUCUGUCACAUGGGCCCAACGAAGGGGCCCCCCCCCGUCAUCGGGUGGCUGUGUUCGUGGCACCCAGGUUGGGAUGACACUUUCACACACCGAAGUACUUUGCACAAUGCCCGGCUUCUAGCAGGUGUUCCGGAACCGGAACACCUGCUAGAAGCCGGGCAUUGUGCAAAGUACUUCGGUGCAUUGUGCAAAGUACUUCCUCUUUUAUCACAAGCCGGUCAUUUAUCACAAGCCGGGCAUUGUGCAAAGUACUUCCUCUUUUAUCACUUCUGCCCGCGGAUGGCGGUACACGGUGUGGAACCACGGUCCAUCGUGGAAAGAGAACUGGUUAGAGCCUCACCUUAUCUCACUGGCGGCAGGAAGGUAAUUGUCAAGACUGAAAUACGAAGACAUGGGACAAUGCAGCAGAGAGUCUGGGGACUUCUGAAGUGAAUUGCCACCGCCCAGCGGUUUUCCUGGGUUUUCCUGUGGCUGAAGUUGUUGCGUACCCACCUGCUACUUCCCCUUUCUUUCCUCACUAGCAGAUAGAGCAAUUUAAUUCAGGCACCUGGAGGGGGAUAUUCAAGGAAAGUAUGCUCCCACUACGUUUCCACCCGUCCAUCGAGCCCUUCGGCCAGAGAUAGUUCUAGAAGUGGGCAUGUAACCUAGUUCUGGCCGCAGAGAUAAAAGGGGAAACCUGCUAGGGGGCUUUACAGAAAGGUUUUCCUCCUCUGUAAAGAUGGGUGCUCAAGGAUAGAGGCCUCCUGUCCUGCCUUUGACCCAAUAGCGGGAGGAAGUGCUGGGGCAGCAGCAGCUAUCCUGUGAUCGUGAGGACACCUGCACAGGGACUAAGCCAAUAGGGCAGGUGAUAGGCUAGAAAGCUGGAGAGGACUGGUUUCUAGAUGGUACAGGUGAUCUCCUGAAUCAGUCCUCGAGCAGAUUCUUGUUAAGUGAAGUAAAACAUGGCCCUAUUAUUUGAGCCAAAUUUAGACCAUCCAUUGGUACUUGUUGAAAACAUCCUGAUGCAGGGAUAUUCAUAGUGUCUCCCUCUCUUGGCUCAUUUAAACUUUAAGGCAUCUUAUUAUAGAUCAGGCUUGAGGCAUUCACAUAACUGACUUCUGCACUGGUGGCCACAGUUCAGUCCAUAGCAGGAACCAAUUUCCUAAUUUUCAAAUUUUCCAUAAUUUUUUUUUACUGUUUUCAAAGCAAAUGGAGAGAUGGUUUGUGUGGCUUCCAGGCAGACAAUGCAGGAAAACUUGUUAAAAAGUAAACAAAAAACAAAGGUCAGGGUGCCUGGGUGUCUCAGUCCGUUGAGCAACCGACCCCUGAUUUCAGCUCAGGUCAUGAUCCCAGGGUCAUGGGAUCGAGCCCCACAUCGGGCUCCACGCUAAAUAUGGAGCCUACUUAAGAUUCUCUCUCUUUCCCUCUACUCUCUCCCCCGUUUUCAUGUUCUCUGUCUCAAGAAAAAAUAAAAGUAAAAUAAAUAAAAAUUUUUUAAAGAUC